Molecule: ribosomal RNA, 1843 nt
Filed under: Jurasai itajubense
Lineage: Eukaryota; Metazoa; Arthropoda; Insecta; Coleoptera; Jurasaidae
Description: SSU rRNA
Rfam family: Eukaryotic small subunit ribosomal RNA
Source: RNAcentral
UUGUCUCAAAGAUUAAGCCAUGCAUGUCUCAGUACAAGCCAAACUAAGGUGAAACCGCGAAAGGCUCAUUAAAUCAGUUAUGGUUCCUUAGAUCGUACCACAUCUACUUGGAUAACUGUGGUAAUUCUAGAGCUAAUACAUGCAAACAGAGCCCCGACCGGAGACGGGAGGGGCGCUUUUAUUAGAACAAAACCAAUCGGCGACGGGUUUGCGCUCGUCGUCGUACACUUUGGUGAAUCUGAAUAACUUUCUGCUGAUCGCACGGUCUCGCACCGGCGACGCAUCUUUCAAAUGUCUGCCUUAUCAACUGUCGAUGGUAGGCUCCGUGCCUACCAUGGUAGUAACGGGUAACGGGGAAUCAGGGUUCGAUUCCGGAGAGGGAGCCUGAGAAACGGCUACCACAUCCAAGGAAGGCAGCAGGCGCGCAAAUUACCCACUCCCGGCACGGGGAGGUAGUGACGAAAAAUAACGAUACGGGACUCAUCCGAGGCCCCGUAAUCGGAAUGAGUACACUCUAAAUCCUUUAACGAGGAUCAAUUGGAGGGCAAGUCUGGUGCCAGCAGCCGCGGUAAUUCCAGCUCCAAUAGCGUAUAUUAAAGUUGUUGCGGUUAAAAAGCUCGUAGUCGAAUCUGUGUCCCGCGCCGCCGGUUCAUCGCUCGCGGUGUCUAACUGGCGUGUUCGCGGGACGUCCUGCCGGUGGGCUUAGCUCGCAAGGGCGGCCCAACUUUGAAUCCCGCCGCGGUGCUCUUCACUGAGUGUCGAGGCGGGCCGGCACGUUUACUUUGAACAAAUUAGAGUGCUUAAAGCAGGCUGUAAUUUCGCCUGAAUACAGUGUGCAUGGAAUAAUGGAAUAGGACCUCGGUUCUAUUUUGUUGGUUUUCGGAACCCCGAGGUAAUGAUUAAUAGGAACGGAUGGGGGCAUUCGUAUUGCGACGUUAGAGGUGAAAUUCUUGGAUCGUCGCAAGACGGACAGAAGCGAAAGCAUUUGCCAAAAACGUUUUCAUUGAUCAAGAACGAAAGUUAGAGGUUCGAAGGCGAUCAGAUACCGCCCUAGUUCUAACCAUAAACGAUGCCAGCUAGCGAUCCGCCGACGUUCCUCCGAUGACUCGGCGGGCAGCUUUCGGGAAACCAAAGCUUUUGGGUUCCGGGGGAAGUAUGGUUGCAAAGCUGAAACUUAAAGGAAUUGACGGAAGGSGCACCACCAGGAGUGGAGCCUGCGGCUUAAUUUGACUCAACACGGGAAACCUCACCAGGCCCGGACACCGGAAGGAUUGACAGAUUGAGAGCUCUUUCUUGAUUCGGUGGGUGGUGGUGCAUGGCCGUUCUUAGUUGGUGGAGCGAUUUGUCUGGUUAAUUCCGAUAACGAACGAGACUCUAGCCUGUUAACUAGGCGUGCUUCCGACAUCUCGAAUUCCCGCCGGCCCGGCGUCCGCGUCGCGGUCGCGCGCGGUCUUUACUGUCGGCGUACAAACAAUUCUUCUUAGAGGGACAGGCGGCUUCUAGCCGCACGAGAUUGAGCAAUAACAGGUCUGUGAUGCCCUUAGAUGUUCUGGGCCGCACGCGCGCUACACUGAAGGAAUCAGCGUGUCUUCCCUGGCCGAGCGGUCCGGGUAACCCGCUGAACCUCCUUCGUGCUAGGGAUUGGGGCUUGCAAUUGUUCCCCAUGAACGAGGAAUUCCCAGUAAGCGCGAGUCAUAAGCUCGCGUUGAUUACGUCCCUGCCCUUUGUACACACCGCCCGUCGCUACUACCGAUUGAAUGAUUUAGUGAGGUCUUCGGACCGGCACGCGGUGGCGUUCCGACGUCGCCGAUGCUGCGGGGAAGAUGACCAAACUUGAUCAUUU